Taxawa tesnikishii (nom. ined.) is the source of this 121-nucleotide non-coding RNA. Lineage: Eukaryota; Fungi; Ascomycota; Dothideomycetes; Dothideales. The record is from the annotation of a GenBank genome assembly.
GGCGAAGUAGCAAAGUGGUUACUGCGAUUGACUAGAAACCAUCAGUGGUGUUGAAAACCAACACAACGGUGGUAGCCAUCAAUUCCCUUCGGGGGCGUAGGUUCGAAUCCUGCCUUCGUCG